CCUGAAUUGGACAGGACCAGAGUCUUCCUUGGGGUUGGAGUUGGCGACGACAGGUCCGCUACAGUGCUCCCUGCCGGACUCACAGGAUCGGUCGCCCAACCCUUCUCCAUAUCCGGUUCCAGCUCCUUCUCUGCAAGUCAGAUUGGUAAUACAUUGUUUGCUUGUAUAUCACGCAAAUGACUAACCCUAAAAUUAUAGUUAAUCUAUUCGCACGUUUUCUAAUUUCUUAACAAAUUCUCGUAACGAUUUGAGUCAGGAUCUGGAAUUAAGAGCAAUGAAAAAAUUGUUUCCUGUUUCAUAUUCUAUCAAUAUUCAAUCGUUGUACCUUCUUGGAUUCUAGAUCCCAUUUUCAGAGAUAAAGGCUGAGAGAUUUCAAAGCGGGAUCAUGAUAUUGUAGGUUUGAUAGAUAGACCACUGAUGCUGGCUCGGCUGGAGAAGAAGGUUACGUCAUAAGAGCCGUCGUCGUCGUUGGCCAACGGUACCUUCACCGUCACGGCAAGAGAUCCGAUUAUGGUUUCAUAUGAAGCAGAGAG
RNAcentral lists this long non-coding RNA (533 nucleotides) under Brassica rapa (field mustard). RNAcentral describes it as "long non-coding RNA (BRAP_LNC002021)". The record is from RNAcentral. Lineage: Eukaryota; Viridiplantae; Streptophyta; Magnoliopsida; Brassicales; Brassicaceae.